UGAGAGUGAAUAUGGUGAUGCCACAUAGGAAAUGGCAUUUUGGUUAAUAAUACAUGAGCAUAAGGUUAGUCUUAAAAAAUGUUCUUCUUUUAAUAUAAAAGGGAUGUACUUUUGGUGGAACAAUUAUUUCAAAGUUAUGUACUUGGUAAAUGCUAUAUCAUAUGAAAAGGAUUACAGUUGAGCAUAAACAAUUUUUGGUACUUAAAGGAAGAUCUAGAUCUGUAAUUUGUAAAUUCUCAUUUGUUAAGAUCAUUGCUUACAGAUAUUUUUGGUGUGAUUAAUAGUUGACAGUUAUAAAGUAAAGAAAAAGUGAAGAAAAUGAAGUGAUAAAUAAAGGUUCCUAUUGGUGAUAUUUUAAAUACUUUAUUUUGUGAGUUUUAGUAAUGUGUUCUUUAAUUUUGUAUUUUUGAGAGUUAUAUUAUUAAUUUUGUAUUAAAUUAUUUUUAUGAAAAUAUAGAUAUUAAUUGUUUUUUGGGGUUUUAAAAUAUACUAUUGAUUAAAAUUAUAUAUAGAAUAUUAGAUAUUAUUU
RNAcentral lists this long non-coding RNA (529 nucleotides) under Brassica napus (rape). RNAcentral's name for it is "long non-coding RNA (BNAP_LNC015906)". Lineage: Eukaryota; Viridiplantae; Streptophyta; Magnoliopsida; Brassicales; Brassicaceae. The record is from RNAcentral.